AUGAUGGAUCUAACACAUAGACAAUGCUCAAUACAUCUUACAUUCCUCCUUUCCUCACUUUAUUCCCUAUCCUAUGUGUCAGCAUUGCUGACUUGCAUGAAACACCUUGCAUCUCUUCUGGGAUUCCAUUCAUAUAUUUCCUCUAAAAGUAACUCUCUUUUUUCUGUUGGAAAACUCUUUCUCGUUCUUGAAGCUGAAGCUGAAGGUCAUGUCUUUUGUAAAGCACCCCUUCAUACCCAGGACAAAGGCCUUCAAAGUUCAACCUCCCUGGAACUCCAGAACUCCCCACUCUAUAAGAUGAAUGGCUAAUUGGAUCCUAGUACAUAAGGAAACACUGGCAAAAUAGUG
This 348-nucleotide long non-coding RNA is filed under the name Pan troglodytes (chimpanzee). RNAcentral's name for it is "lncRNA (ENSPTRG00000053741.1)". The record is from RNAcentral. Lineage: Eukaryota; Metazoa; Chordata; Mammalia; Primates; Hominidae.